AUUGAACGCUGGCGGCAGGCCUAACACAUGCAAGUCGAGCGGACGAGAGGAGCUUGCUCUUCGAUUCAGCGGCGGACGGGUGAGUAAUGCCUAGGAAUCUGCCUAGUAGUGGGGGACAACGUUUCGAAAGGAACGCUAAUACCGCAUACGUCCUACGGGAGAAAGUGGGGGAUCUUCGUACCUUAAGCUCUUAGAUGAGCCUAGGUCGGAUUAGCUAGUUGGUUGGGUAAAGGCGUACCAAGGUGACGAUCCGUAACUGGGCUGAGAGGAUGAUCAGUCACACUGGAACUGAGACACGGUCCAGACUCCUACGGGAGGCAGCAGUGGGGAAUAUUGGACAAUGGGCGCAAGCCUGAUCCAGCCAUGCCGCGUGUGUGAAGAUGGCCCUCGGGUCGUAAAGCACUUUAAGUUGGGAGGAAGGGCUUACAGCGAAUACCUGUGAGUUUUGACGUUACCGACAGAAUAAGCACCGGCUAACUUCGUGCCAGCAGCCGCCGUAA
RNAcentral lists this ribosomal RNA (500 nucleotides) under uncultured bacterium. Its description in RNAcentral is "partial 16S ribosomal RNA". It matches the Rfam family "Bacterial small subunit ribosomal RNA", at positions 30 to 523 of the family's 1533-position model. The record is from RNAcentral.